ACAUCUAAGUACCUGAAGGAAGAGAAAGAAAUUCGAUUCCGUAAGUAGCGGCGAGCGAACGCGGAUUAGCCCAAACCAAUAAAGUUUUCUUUAUUGGGGUUGCGGACAUAUCAUAACGAAGAGGUAUUGUAAUUGAAGAGGUUUGGAAAGACCCACCACAGAAGGUAAUAGUCCUGUAUGUUAAACGAGAAGACUUCAGAUAUGAUCCAGAGUACCACGGGACACGUGAA
RNAcentral lists this ribosomal RNA (230 nucleotides) under Clostridioides sp. ES-S-0056-01. RNAcentral describes it as "partial 23S ribosomal RNA". It matches the Rfam family "Bacterial large subunit ribosomal RNA", at positions 198 to 430 of the family's 2925-position model. Lineage: Bacteria; Bacillati; Bacillota; Clostridia; Peptostreptococcales; Peptostreptococcaceae. The record is from RNAcentral.